ACAGUUAGUGGAAGGAAGAGGAAAAUUUAUUUUAAAACAUACUCAUUUCGUCACAUGUUACAACUUGAAUAAUACUGUGAACGUAAGGGUUGAAGAAGAAAUAUAAUUGUGGGCCUAAAAUAGGAACUCACCGGAAAAUCAAACUUUUAGUGGUUAGGUCUUUGAGCUUUGAACAGUGAUUGGCAGGUGGGCUAAAAAAAAAUUGGCAACACUGUCUAACGUGCAGCUUGCGCCUUGCUCAAUGCUUGUGGUUCUUGUCAAUUUGUCCGCCAUUUUGUAAUUUGUUCAUUUGAUGGCUAGUGUUUAGUUUAAAUUGUAAUAAAAUACCGUUGCCUUAGUAUUACUAUUUACUGACAAGAAAAGGAAAGAUGUCACGGUAUGGAGACUGUAAAGUCUAUGUGGGAGAUCUUGGUAACAACGCUAGUAAACCUGAAUUAGAAGACGCUUUUUCCUAUUACGGUCCAUUGAGAAAUGUUUGGGUGGCCAGAAAUCCACCCGGCUUCGCUUUUGUAGAGUUCGAAGACCCGCGAGAUGCCGAAGACGCUAUUCGUGGACUAGACGGUCGCACAAUAUGCGGACGUCGGGCUCGUGUGGAAAUGUCCAACGGGGGUCGCGGUUAUGGGGGUCGCGGUCCCCCUCCGCGGUCACGCUUGCCGCCGCGUCCGUACGAUGACCGCUGCUACGACUGCGGCGAUCGAGGACACUAUGCUCGUGAUUGCACACGUCGCCGCCGUCGCAGGUUAUCAUUGGCCUGUGCGCCGAGACCGCAAUCGGCAGUUUCUGCACUUAUUGUCUGCGCUACGUAGUUUUCACGUCGCGGCGUGUACUCCGAUUAUGUUGGCCGCAUCGGUAACUUCGGCAUAGCUUCAGGCUGCGCGCACGAUCUUCUAUUCGAGAACUGCAUUGAGAGUUAUAUUCGUUCAACGCGUCGCGUCACUUCACGUCUAUUGUAAUCACUGCGCUCUCUCACCGCUCGAGGUCCCGCAGACGCACGCGCUCGCGCUCGCCGCGGUCGGGCUCUCGCUCGCGCAGCCGCUCCCGCUCGCGCUCGCGCUCCAAGGCUCGCUCAAUGUCGCGCUCGAGGUCACGAUCUGCAUCUAAAGAUUCCAAGAAGUCAAACUAGUUGUAACAAGCCAUUAGAAGUACUGUGUGAAUGUUAAACAAAUCUUUUUAGGCUUAUCGUUUUGAUAUGAGCCAAUACAAAUGUUUGAAGCAAUAUUACUGAAUCCACCUGGUUUUCACUUUAAAUAUAUCAUUCCUAUGAAUAAUGAUUUUAUAAGACAUCCAACGCAUUGAUUUAUAAUCAAUAAAAUUAGUUUUGUGAUAA
RNA transcript from Manduca sexta (tobacco hornworm), 1327 nucleotides. It is a transcript of the gene named serine/arginine-rich splicing factor 7, with no coding region annotated. The transcript is spliced from 5 exons. The record is from RefSeq and is a predicted model, not a curated record. Lineage: Eukaryota; Metazoa; Arthropoda; Insecta; Lepidoptera; Sphingidae.